RNAcentral lists this ribosomal RNA (492 nucleotides) under uncultured bacterium. Its description in RNAcentral is "partial 16S ribosomal RNA". It matches the Rfam family "Bacterial small subunit ribosomal RNA", at positions 29 to 507 of the family's 1533-position model. The record is from RNAcentral.
AGUGAACGCUGGCGGUAGGCCUAACACAUGCAAGUCGAACGGCAGCACAGUAAGAGCUUGCUCUUACGGGUGGCGAGUGACGGACGGGUGAGGAAUACAUCGGAAUCUACUUUUUCGUGGGGGAUAACGUAGGGAAACUUACGCUAAUACCGCAUACGACCUACGGGUGAAAGCAGGGGAUCUUCGGACCUUGCGCGAUUGAAUGAGCCGAUGUCGGAUUAGCUAGUUGGCGGGGUAAAGGCCCACCAAGGCGACGAUCCGUAGCUGGUCUGAGAGGAUGAUCAGCCACACUGGAACUGAGACACGGCCCAGACUCCUACGGGAGGCAGCAGUGGGGAAUAUUGGACAAUGGGCGCAAGCCUGAUCCAGCCAUACCGCGUGGGUGAAGAAGGCCUUCGGGUUGUAAAGCCCUUUUGUUGGGAAAGAAAAGCAGCAGGUUAAUACCCCGCUGUUCUGACGGUACCCAAAGAAUAAGCACCGGCUAACUUCGUG